RNAcentral lists this microRNA precursor (173 nucleotides) under Oryza punctata. RNAcentral's name for it is "MIR2118 microRNA precursor family". It matches the Rfam family "MIR2118 microRNA precursor family". The record is from Rfam by way of RNAcentral. Lineage: Eukaryota; Viridiplantae; Streptophyta; Magnoliopsida; Poales; Poaceae.
CUCGGAGAGAGGAAGAAAGAGAGGUUUCAAGAAUAGUGGGAAUGGGAAUAUAUGAGAGAGCAUAAGUUGUCUAUCCCCUCACCCUUUGCCGAGGUGGAGAUUUUUGUUCCUACGUUUUCUCGAUACCUCCCAUUCCUAUCAUUGUUAGAAUUUCAUUCAUCUUCAUUUUGUCU